This 134-nucleotide transfer RNA is filed under the name Candidatus Woesearchaeota archaeon. RNAcentral's name for it is "tRNA-Ser". The record is from RNAcentral. Lineage: Archaea; Nanobdellati; Candidatus Woesearchaeota.
GCCAGCAUCGCCUAAUCCGGUAUGGCGUCGGUCUCGAAAACCGAUCCCUCUGGGAUUCCCGGUUCGAACGAAGUGAGAAACGGGUCGCGAAGUGAUUAGACUCGGUUCAAAUUCCGAUUUUCCGGGUGCUGGCG